Molecule: ribosomal RNA, 636 nt
Filed under: [Emmonsia] crescens
Lineage: Eukaryota; Fungi; Ascomycota; Eurotiomycetes; Onygenales; Ajellomycetaceae
Description: eukaryotic LSU rRNA
Rfam family: Eukaryotic large subunit ribosomal RNA
Source: RNAcentral
UUGACCUCGGAUCAGGUAGGGAUACCCGCUGAACUUAAGCAUAUCAAUAAGCGGAGGAAAAGAAACCAACAGGGAUUGCCUCAGUAACGGCGAGUGAAGCGGCAAAAGCUCAAAUUUGAAAUCUGGCCCCUUCGGGGCCCGAGUUGUAAUUUGUAGAGGAUGCUUCGGGCGUGGCCGCGGUCUAAGUCCCCUGGAACGGGGCGUCGCAGAGGGUGAGAAUCCCGUCUUCGGCCGGCCGGCUUCGCCCAUGUGAAGCUCCUUCGACGAGUCGAGUUGUUUGGGAAUGCAGCUCUAAAUGGGUGGUAAAUUUCAUCUAAAGCUAAAUACUGGUCGGAGACCGAUAGCGCACAAGUAGAGUGAUCGAAAGAUGAAAAGCACUUUGAAAAGAGAGUUAAACAGCAUGUGAAAUUGUUGAAAGGGAAGCGCUUGCGACCAGAGUCGGCCGCGGGGGUUCAGCGGGCAUUCGUUGCCCGUGCACUCCCCCGUGGCCGGGCCAGCGUCGGUUUCGACGGUCGGUCAAAGGCCCCCGGAAUGUGUCACCCUUCGGGGUGUCUUAUAGCCGGGGGUGCAAUGCGGCCAGUCGGGACCGAGGAACGCGCUUCGGCACGGACGCUGGCUUAAUGGUCGUAAGCGACC